Molecule: transfer RNA, 76 nt
Filed under: Telmatospirillum siberiense
Lineage: Bacteria; Pseudomonadati; Pseudomonadota; Alphaproteobacteria; Rhodospirillales; Rhodospirillaceae
Description: tRNA-Lys
Rfam family: tRNA
About the family: Transfer RNA (tRNA) molecules are approximately 80 nucleotides in length.
Source: RNAcentral
GGGCGUGUAGCUCAGUUGGUAGAGCAGCUGACUCUUAAUCAGCGGGUCCGGAGUUCGAGCCUCCGCGCGCCCACCA